AUUGAACGCUGGCGGCACGCCUUACACAUGCAAGUCGAACGGCAGCACGGGAGCAAUCCUGGUGGCGAGUGGCGAACGGGUGAGUAAAGUAUCGGAACGUGCCCAGUCGAGGGGGAUAACGUAGCGAAAGUUACGCUAAUACCGCAUACGAUCUAUGGAUGAAAGCGGGGGAUCGCAAGACCUCGCGCGAUUGGAGCGGCCGAUAUCAGAUUAGGUAGUUGGUGGGGUAAAGGCCAACCACGCCGACGAUCUGUAGAUGGUCUGAGAGGACGACCAGCCACACGUGGACUGAGACACGGCCCAGACUCCUACGGGAGGCAGCAGUGGGGAAUUUUGGACAAGGGGCGAAAGCCUGAUCCAGCCAUGCCGCGUGCAGGAUGAAGGCCUUCGGGUUGUAAACUGCUUUUGUACGGAACGAAAAGGACUGCCCUAAUACGGUGGUCCCAUGACGGUACCGUAAGAAUAAGCACCGGCUAACUACGUGCCAGCCGCCGCCGUAA
Molecule: ribosomal RNA, 500 nt
Filed under: uncultured bacterium
Lineage: Bacteria
Description: partial 16S ribosomal RNA
Rfam family: Bacterial small subunit ribosomal RNA
Source: RNAcentral